GCGCCAUUAGCUCAGUUGGAUAGAGCAGGGGUCUUCUAAACCCAAGGUCGACGGUUCGAACCCGCCAUGGCGCACCA
RNAcentral lists this transfer RNA (77 nucleotides) under Collinsella sp. AK_207A. Its description in RNAcentral is "tRNA-Arg(tct)". It matches the Rfam family "tRNA". From Rfam's summary of the family: Transfer RNA (tRNA) molecules are approximately 80 nucleotides in length. Their secondary structure includes four short double-helical elements and three loops (D, anti-codon, and T loops). The record is from RNAcentral. Lineage: Bacteria; Bacillati; Actinomycetota; Coriobacteriia; Coriobacteriales; Coriobacteriaceae.